AAGAACCGAAAAUGGCAGCCAUGGAUGAGCUCCAUUCGGCCAAGCUUCCAUGGCUUAUAUAGGUACGGUUUUUGUCCCGUUUUUGAAGAUUUUCGUAUUUUUAAGAUCCUCGAAGCUUAAAUUUUCUAUUUCUACCAAUUGAUUGAAGAGAAAUUAGAGUUUAAAAAUUUACCCAUUCAUGAUAUGGUUGUGUUUUGAUGAUUUAUAGUGGAUAAUGAAUGUUUGAUGGGUUAAAUAUGAGUUUUAUUCAAUAAAUUUCGGUAAAAAUGUCAAAAAGGGGUUAAAUUGUAAAAGUUAUAAAUUGGUCAUAAGUGUGUGAAUUAGCGAAAAUUUGGAGUUACCAUAGAAGAGAAAAAUGUUCAGCAUGUCUUAAACCUUAUAGAAAUUGAAUAAAAAAUUAUUUUACGAGCCUAGGGGUAAAAGUGUAAUUUUUGAAAAGUUAGGGGGCAUAAUUGUAAAUUUUCCAAAUUUUGAUAUAUGAAUUGAAUUGGUUAGUGUGUUGAUAAAAUGUGUUAAAUAAGUGUUAUUUGACAUGUUAGAUCAAGAAAACAUGAAAUUUUGGAUUAAGAUCAGAGAAGAACAAAGUUGUGUGCUAAGUUAGGAAAGUUAGCCGUUUCGGCAUUUGAGGUAAGUUGGUAUGAUAAUAAUACUGCAAUAAUGUUAUUGCCUUAAUAUUAAAUGAGAUGUAAGUUCAUAUGUAAGUAAUACAUCAAUUUUACUUGUAUUAUGAUAUUUUAUAAUAAUAUUGUAAAUAUGUUUGUUGAUAAUUACUUGAUUGGUGAAAUUGUUGGAAAAGAGAGAGAAAUUCCGGUUGAACCUUCGGAAAGAUUGAAUGAUACAGAUGGUACGUAGCUAGGUCACAUGUAUGGUGCUGAGUGCACAUCAUGUAUACAAGAAAGCUACGAGACAUUAUAAUGUAGCUAGGUCGCAUGGGUGAUACUAUGUGUACACCAUGUAGACAAGAGAGCUACGAGAUAUAUGUAGCUAGGUCGCAUGCGUGGUUCCAGGUGAAGAACACCAUGUAUACAAGAGAGCUGCGAGAUAAACUGGCUAGGUCACAUGGGUGGUACUAAGUGUUCACCAUGUGUACAAGAGAGCCGAACUAUAUGAUGGGUGGAGCUAUGUGCUGAAACCACCAAGUAUCGAGUAUUGAUCCGAAGUGUUCAACAGGAGACUUACUAUGUACUGCUUUGUGAGUUUUGUGAGGAAUAAGUGCAGGAACUUGGUUAUGUGAAUGAUGUGUUCAUUAAGUGACUGGGAUGUGGCAAGGUUAUAAACAAGUAAGUUCAUACGUAUUAAGUAUUAUUAUAUUGAGCAUUUAAUGCGUUGGAAUCAUAUAAAUGGAAUAUUUAUGAGUAUUUUAAUGAUUAAUGAUUUAUCGACCAAACGAACGGCACUUAGUGUGUGAAGUAUUGAGGAUGGCACUUAGUGUGCAAGACAUCCGAAAUGACACUGUGUAUGAAGUAUUGAUGAUGACACUUAGUGUGCGAAACAUCCGGUAUAGCACUUAGCGUGCAAGACAUCGAUUGUGCAGCGACAUUUCGUGUAAGUAUGAUUUUGUUAUGGAUCGGUACAGGUAUGUACAUGUAUGUAUGAGCUUGUUAAUAAGCAUUAUUAUAAUUGAGAUUUAAUGCUGUAUAAUUGAAUUGUUGAUGAUUAUGAUUGUACGGAAGUAUUUUAUGAAAAUUUGGCAUUGGAAAUUCCUGUUGAACCUUAGGAAUAAAUUAGGAUACAAAGGGCAUGUCAUUAAAGUUACAUUGAUUUGGCUUCGGGCCAUGAUAUUGGCACUUAGUGUGCGAGAUUCCCGAGUAUCCAAUUUCUAUUCCAAAUAGUUCAACGGGUAUAUCGAAAAUAUGAAUGAGUAAUUUAGCCUUGACAGAUUUGAGUUACUGCAGUAGUGUAACUUUGAAAAUACACUAAAAAUAGUGGAAAUUGAGUUAGAGGCAGAAUAAAAUAUGGGAUUAAAGCUUAAUGAGUCUAUAUUCACAUGAAAGAAACAGAAGAAGAAAAAGAAUUCCAUAUUGUGUGAUAUUUGAAUUCUUGUGAAACAGGGUCUUAAUGAAUUCGAGAUCCCCUAUUCUGACUUUAGAAAUUCACCAAAACUUUUACAAAAAUUAUUAAGAGUCAUACCUUACAUGCAUGGAUUCCUUAUUGAGUCUAUUUUUAGGGGAAAUAAACGGCAUGGUCGUUGGAAUUCUGUACAGGAAUAAAUUCGGUUCGUAGUGCACAGGGGUCAUAGUGGUCAUACCCUGAAACAGGGGAGGCUUUAACUAAUAAACUAUACUAAUUGGCCCAACCAAAAAUUAUAGAAAACAAUUAAUAAGUAUAAAUAUGAGUCUAGUUUCAAGAGAAAUAGACGAAAACAUUAUUCGAGUCUUGUACUAUGAGAUAAUUGAACUUUAGUACAGAAGGGUCGGAACUGUCAGACAAUGAAUCAAGGGUAACUUUGAGGAAUAAACUGUACUAUUUGGCUUAACCAAAAAUUCUGGAAAUUUUAUGGAAGAAAGGAAAAUAAGUCUAGUUUCAUGGAAAAUUAACGGAAAUUAAUUCGGAGUUUCGUAGCUCCAGAUAUAAAUAAUUUAGUGACUAUGAUUCAGGAAAACAGCCUUAGCUGAUCUUGUGUAAAAAGAUGAAAUCAUGUGAUUAAUGAUUCUAUUUUUUUGAGCAUAUUUAUUAAGGAAUGGGAUAAUAUUGUUAAUUAAAUUGCUUAUUAUUAUUAAUAUUCCAACUUACUAAGCUUUUAAGCUUACACCAUUUUCCCAUUUCUCUUAGUGUUGUCAGGUUGGCUCGGGGUUGGAGAUCGUCGGAAGUAUCAUCACACUAUUAGUUUAUCAAAUUAGAAUAAUGAUAAUUCUUAUUUAUUGUCAAAUAAGUGGCAUGUAUAGAUAAUAAGUUAUUGAUAUUAGGUAAUAUUAUGAUUUAGCCAAAUGUAUAGGCUCAUUUUGCUUCAUUGUAUAUAGCCAUAAGAUUUGGCUCAUAAUGGUUAAAGUUAUGUAAACCUAUUUUAUGUAUGCAUAGAUAAAUAUCUUGGUGUGGCUAAGUUAAGAACACAAAAAGGGCUUGGAAAAUAGCAUAUGAUACACAUGGGCUUGAGACACGGCCGUGUGUCUCAACAGUGUGAAGAACACGGCCACCACACAGGUGUAUGGUCUAGCCGUGUAAGCAAGUCAGUAGCUAGCUAAUUUUUACACGGGGUCUAGACACGGGCGUGUGACCCUGCUUUGGUAAAAAAAAAUUACUAAGUGUCUGAAAGAUUUCGGUUUGUUUCCAAACCAAUUUCAAUGAUUGUUUUGGGCCUCGUAGGCCCUUAUAAGGGACAAAUUAUAUAUGUUUGAAAAGUUUAAAAUUUGAUGAAAUUUUAUGUCUUAGUUUUAAAUGAUUACAAGUACUUAAGUCCAGUAAUACCUCGUACCCUGUUCCGGCAUCAGAUACGAGUAAGGGGUGUUACAUUUAGUGGUAUCAGAGCCAGGUUUAGUUUAGUCGAUUCUCGGACUAACAUAGCAAGUGUGAGAGUCUAGUUAUACAUGCCACAAAUAUGUGAUAGUGUUAUGUCUCCUGACGCUAAUGAGGACCAUUUUGUUUAAAAUGAAGUAUUCUCCAACCGAGCUGCAUCUGAUCAUUUGAUAGCGAUAUUAAAGUAUUUGAAUAAAGUGUAGCUAUGAUGUGUUAAACUCGAAAAGGUAUGAAUAAGAGUUAGUGAUAUAUGUAUAUGUGAUAAUAUGUGAGAUGGAAGUUUAUAUAGUGAUAUAUUAAUUCAUAUUUGUUUAGCCUUCAUAUGUUGUUGCAUGCUUGACUAAAUUGAUUAGUAAAUGUGAUUACUAAAGUUAUUCAAAAUUCAUAGAAUGUAUGAGUGAGUGCACUUGUUUGAAAUGAGAUAAUUGGGAAUUUUGUGUAAGACAGAUAUGAAUAAUAAAUUGUUUGAAGUGGAUAGUAUAAUUAUAAUGACAUAUGUGGAUAAUGAAAAAUGUGUCAUAUAGAUAUAUGUGAGAAUCGAGUUAAAGGCUGUACGACAUCACCCCCUUACUGAUGAGGUGGUUAUAACGAAAAUUCACGAGAAUCAUGUUGAUUAAGUUCCUAAGUGUGGAAUCAAAGAGUUCAGUGAUAAAUUAAUUAUAGAUAUGACCAGAGGCUGAGAAUGGUUGACAAGUGAAUGACAGAGUUAGAGAAAUAUCAGAGUUGACUGAGUUAUCUUGGGAUUCAAAUUGAUGACCGAGUGUUUCUGGAAGUAUCGCCUUGAAAACAAUUAGUUAGUGAUGCUGGAAAUUAUGAGAAAGAUACUAAACCUCACUCCGGUAAGAUUUUCGAGGACGAAAAUCUCCAAAGGGGGGAGAGUUGUAACAGCCCAAAAUUAGGUCUAGUCGGAAUAGUGGUUUCGGGACCACAAACCCGACGAGAAAAAAAUUUUAUUUUUAUUAUAUUUUUAUAGUCUAUAAAUUUAUGAAAAUAUUUUGUAAAAAUUUCAUUCGAAAAUUUUGACGUUUGGGCACUUAAUUUAGUCAAAAGGACUAAAUUGUAAAAAGUGCAAAAGUUGAGUUCUUUAUAUAUGAGGUGCCUAAUUGUUAUGAGUUUUAAAUUGAAAGUCCUUAUGUGAUAAUUAUUCCUUUAAUAAGUUAGUGAAUGGAUAUUUUUUUGGUAUUUUUGAAAUUUGGUUGAAAUAAAAAGGGUAAUUUUGUAAAUUAAUUAAAAUAACCUAAUAAGACAAAAAUGAUAAAAGCUAUCAUUUUUUUUUUCCAUUCUUUCUUCUUCAACCGUGGGAAAGAACCGAAAAUGGCAGCCAUGGAUGAGCUCCAUUCGGCCAAGCUUCUAUGGCUUAAAUAGGUACGGUUUUUGUCCCGUUUUUAAAGAUUUUCGUAUUUUUAAGAUCCUCGAAGCUUAAAUUUUCUAUUUCUACCAAUUGAUUGAAGAGAAAUUAGAGUUUAAAAAUUUACCCAUUCAUGAUAUGGUUGUGUUUUGAUGAUUUAUAGUGGAUAAUGAAUGUUUGAUGUGUUAAAUAUGAGUUUUAUUCAAUGAAUUUCGGUAAAAAUGUCAAAAAGGGGUUAAAUUGUAAAAGUUAUAAAUUGGUCAUAAGUGUGUGAAUUAGUGAAAAUUUGCAGUUGCCAUAGAAGAGAAAAAUGUUCAGCAUGUCUUAAACCUUAUAGAAAUUGAAUAAAAAAUUAUUUUACGAGCCUAGGGGUAAAAGUGUAAUUUUUGAAAAGUUAGGGGCAUAAUUGUAAAUUUUCCAAAUUUUGAUAUAUGAAUUGAAUUGGUUAGUGUGUUGAUAAAAUGUGUUAAAUAAGUGUUAUUUGACAUGUUAGAUCAAGAAAACUUGAAAUUUUGGAUUAAGAUCAGAGAAGAACAAAGUUGUGUGCUAAGUUAGGAAAGUUAGCCGUUUCGGCAUCUGAGGUAAGUUGGUAUGAUAAUAAUACUGCAAUAAUGUUAUUGCCUUGAUAUUAAACGAGAUGUAAGUUCAUAUGUAAGUAAUACAUCAAUUUUACUUGUAUUAUGAUAUUUUAUAAUAAUAUUGUAAAUAUGUUUGUUGAUAAUUACUUGAUUGGUGAAAUUGUUGGAAAAGAGAGAGAAAUCCCGGUUGAACCUUCAGAAAGAUUGAAUGAUACAGAUGGUACGUAGCUAGGUCAUAUGUAUGGUGUUAACUGCACAUCAUGUGUACAAGAAAGCUACGAGACAUUAUAAUGUAGCUAGGUCGCAUGGGUGAUACUAUGUGUACACCAUGUAGACAAGAGAGCUACGAGAUAUAUGUAGCUAG
Molecule: long non-coding RNA, 5743 nt
Filed under: Gossypium barbadense (sea-island cotton)
Lineage: Eukaryota; Viridiplantae; Streptophyta; Magnoliopsida; Malvales; Malvaceae
Description: long non-coding RNA (GBAR_LNC006980)
Source: RNAcentral